This 193-nucleotide unclassified non-coding RNA is filed under the name uncultured Sporobolomyces. RNAcentral's name for it is "sequence contains ITS1". Lineage: Eukaryota; Fungi; Basidiomycota. The record is from RNAcentral.
GAGAGCCAAGAGAUCCGUUGUUGAAAGUUUUUAUUUGUUAUAAAAAUUUUACAUUCAUAGACUAGUGUUUAUAAAGUGAAAUGGCUCACAAUCGCGAAAAUUGCUCGCCAUUAAUACAGAUGCGCAGGGUUAGAUGUGAGAAGGUCGGGUUCCAAGUUARAUUGGACACCCUAUUUAUUCACUAAUGAUCCUU